ACUAUGUACACCUCUCAAUAGCUCAGUGGUAGAGCAUUCGACUGUAGAUCGAAUGGUCGCUGGUUCGACUCC
This 72-nucleotide transfer RNA is filed under the name Encephalitozoon romaleae SJ-2008. Its description in RNAcentral is "tRNA-Tyr". The stretch from base 12 to 72 matches the Rfam family "tRNA", at positions 1 to 60 of the family's 71-position model. From Rfam's summary of the family: Transfer RNA (tRNA) molecules are approximately 80 nucleotides in length. Their secondary structure includes four short double-helical elements and three loops (D, anti-codon, and T loops). The record is from RNAcentral. Lineage: Eukaryota; Fungi; Microsporidia; Unikaryonidae.